RNAcentral lists this ribosomal RNA (339 nucleotides) under uncultured bacterium. RNAcentral's name for it is "bacterial SSU rRNA". It matches the Rfam family "Bacterial small subunit ribosomal RNA", at positions 8 to 334 of the family's 1533-position model. The record is from RNAcentral.
AGGGUUUGAUUCUGGCUCAGGAUGAACGCUAGCUACAGGCUUAACACAUGCAAGUCGUGGGGCAGCAUGGGAGAUGCUUGCAUUUCCCGAUGGCGACCGGCGCACGGGUGAGUAACGCGUAUCCAACCUGCCCUUCACUCCGGCACAGCCCGUCGAAAGACGGAUUAAUGCGGGAUGCAGUCAGAAAGAUGCAUAUUAAUUUGACGAAAGGCCUUCGGGUCGGUGAGGGAUGGGGAUGCGUCCGAUUAGCUUGACGGCGGGGUAACGGCCCACCGUGGCAACGAUCGGUAGGGGUUCUGAGAGGAAGGUCCCCCACAUUGGAACUGAGACACGGUCCAA